UAGGCCAGUGUGACUAGGGGAGCAGGUACGUGUGUUCGGUGAGGAAUUCGUCGUGUCAGGCGGUGUAUCCGACGAAGCAACGAUCAGAGAGUCGGAGUUGGUGUCGAUGGUAGUUAUGCUGUCGUUACCAUUUCUUCUAUCCACGUCCGUCACCUGGACUGUGCUGCUUCGACGGCACUCGAUAUCUCCUGGACGGUUGUUUCCAUUGUCUUCGAUUUUUAACUUACCACUAUCUUCGAUGUCCUUUGAAGUUCGAUGUACGCUUUUUUCUUCGCAAUUUGAGUUGUCAACCUUGCGUUUCUUUACCUGUAAGCAGUAACCAAUUCUCUCGACGAUAGUAGCAAAACUAGGCCGGUCUUCGGGACGUGGGUGCCAACAUUGUGUCAUUAUUCCAUAAAUAGGAUCAGGGCAUCCCGCUGGUUUUUCUAGACGCCCUCCUAACGUUACCAUUGUCAUGGCUUCUCUAUUAGUACAACCAGUAUAAGGUAUGUAGCCAAAAGACAUAAUUUCCCACAGCA
RNAcentral lists this unclassified non-coding RNA (518 nucleotides) under Bombus terrestris (buff-tailed bumblebee). Its description in RNAcentral is "misc RNA ENSBTSG00005034552.1". The record is from RNAcentral. Lineage: Eukaryota; Metazoa; Arthropoda; Insecta; Hymenoptera; Apidae.